UGCAUUCACUGGUAUAAGUCGCUCUGGAUAAGAGCGUCUGCUAAAUGACUAAAA
This is a non-coding RNA of Salmo salar (Atlantic salmon), 54 nucleotides long. The record is from Rfam. Lineage: Eukaryota; Metazoa; Chordata; Actinopteri; Salmoniformes; Salmonidae.